RNAcentral lists this transfer RNA (76 nucleotides) under Dehalococcoides mccartyi CG1. RNAcentral describes it as "tRNA-Gly (TCC) (tRNA-Gly-TCC-3-1)". Lineage: Bacteria; Bacillati; Chloroflexota; Dehalococcoidia; Dehalococcoidales; Dehalococcoidaceae. RNAcentral also lists the same sequence under 1 other name. The record is from RNAcentral.
GCGCCGCUAGUGUAAUGGUAAGCACUCCACUCAUCCAGAGUGAAGGUCGGGGUCCGAUUCCCACGGCGGCGCUCCA